This 247-nucleotide long non-coding RNA is filed under the name Ananas comosus (pineapple). RNAcentral describes it as "long non-coding RNA (ACOM_LNC042993)". The record is from RNAcentral. Lineage: Eukaryota; Viridiplantae; Streptophyta; Magnoliopsida; Poales; Bromeliaceae.
CCGGGACCGAGCGAGCCGGCGAGCGACCGAGGUAAAGGUAUCGCGCCUUAGUCAGAGGCCACCAGAGUUGGGUUUACAUUUUGUUAGUAGACACCCUUUAUCAUCUUUUGUAUUUGAUAACAAGUAAUGUAACGAAAAGAAUGUAAAGCUUAUUUUGAGGUAAAUGUGAUGUAAGAAAGAAAUGAUGAAAUGAUGUAAUGAAAUGUAAAGAAUCCUAAAUGUAAGAAGUGGAUGCAAUGUAUAUGAU